UUUAGAGUUUGAUUCCCGCUCAGGACGAACGCUGGCGGCGUGCCUAAUACAUGCAAGUCGAACGCUUCUUUUCCCACCGGAGCUUGCUCCACCGGGAAAAGAGGAGUGGCGAACGGGUGAGUAACACGUGGGUAACCUGCCCAUCAGAAGGGGAUAACACUUGGAAACAGGUGCUAAUACCGUAUAACAAUCGAAACCGCAUGGUUUCGUUUUGAAAGGCGCUUUACGGUGCCGCUGAUGGAUGGACCCGCGGUGCAUUAGCUAGUUGGUGAGGUAACGGCUCACCAAGGCCACGAUGCAUAGCCGACCUGAGAGGGUGAUCGGCCACAUUGGGACUGAGACACGGCCCAAACUCCUACGGGAGGCAGCAGUAGGGAAUCUUCGGCAAUGGACGAAAGUCUGACCGAGCAACGCCGCGUGAGUGAAGAAGGUUUUCGGAUCGUAAAACUCUGUUGUUAGAGAAGAACAAGGGUGAGAGUAACUGUUCACCCCUUGACGGUAUCUAACCAGAAAGCCACGGCUAACUACGUGCCAGCAGCCGCGGUAAUACGUAGGUGGCAAGCGUUGUCCGGAUUUAUUGGGCGUAAAGCGAGCGCAGGCGGUUUCUUAAGUCUGAUGUGAAAGCCNCCGGCUCAACCGGGGAGGGUCAUUGGAAACUGGGAGACUUGAGUGCAGAAGUUAGAGAUG
RNAcentral lists this ribosomal RNA (687 nucleotides) under Enterococcus mundtii. RNAcentral's name for it is "bacterial SSU rRNA". It matches the Rfam family "Bacterial small subunit ribosomal RNA", at positions 1 to 663 of the family's 1533-position model. The record is from RNAcentral. Lineage: Bacteria; Bacillati; Bacillota; Bacilli; Lactobacillales; Enterococcaceae.